UUACAGUUGAAGGCUGUGCAUGUACCAUAGUUGCAGAACAAAAACACUCAUUGCCAUAAUGUUACAUUCUGAUGCACGCUGGAACAGCAAUUCAAAAACACAUGAACACAAAAAUGAAGCGAGACAUACAGCUUCAAGGCCAGAGGGGAAAAAAGAUUGGUGAGAACAGUGAAGGAAAUGGACUAAGAGUCAAGCCUGAGAAUGAAUUAUCGUUAUAUUGUCCCUCAUUUUGGAGUUUCUCUCACAAACAAUAUGCAACAUUUGGGAGCUGGCAAGCUGAGAGAACCUGAUGUCUGAUGACGAAGCACAUGAACUUUGAUGGUAGAAAUGGGAAAUCAUGGCUUCUAAGAAUGCCCCAGGCUUCCUUACCCACUUGCCAUCAAUGUGCUGAGUUGAAUUGUGGUGUUUUGCAUGAUGCUAAUUCAUCUGAUGCAAAUAUAAAUUGAACUUAAAUAUACUGCUAAAUAAAAUGU
Molecule: long non-coding RNA, 473 nt
Organism: Pelodiscus sinensis (Chinese soft-shelled turtle)
Lineage: Eukaryota; Metazoa; Chordata; Testudines; Trionychidae
Source: RefSeq, a predicted model, not a curated record